Molecule: unclassified non-coding RNA, 214 nt
Filed under: Hevea brasiliensis (rubber tree)
Lineage: Eukaryota; Viridiplantae; Streptophyta; Magnoliopsida; Malpighiales; Euphorbiaceae
Source: RNAcentral
UAAAGACCCAAAAAAGAUUACGUAAGAUCAACAAACACAACACACCCAAAACCACAGUAAAUCAACCAAAUCUCCCCAGAUAUCAAAUACCCAAAAACACUUACCUUGUUCUUGAAAUAUAAACAGAUCAGCAGAAAUAAUAACUCCCAAAUCAGAAAAAGAAAAAAUCAAGACAACCCCACUUACUGUUUUGAGCUUCAAUUACACAAAACUG